This 101-nucleotide ribosomal RNA is filed under the name Staphylococcus aureus. Lineage: Bacteria; Bacillati; Bacillota; Bacilli; Caryophanales; Staphylococcaceae. The record is from RNAcentral.
UGGUGACUAUAGCAAGGAGGUCACACCUGUUCCCAUGCCGAACACAGAAGUUAAGCUCCUUAGCGUCGAUGGUAGUCGAACUAAAAUGGAUGCGAUGAGCC